UGGCAGGAGCCAUCUUUAAGGUG
RNAcentral lists this unclassified non-coding RNA (23 nucleotides) under Mus musculus (house mouse). RNAcentral's name for it is "oocyte_clustered_small_RNA4664". The record is from RNAcentral. Lineage: Eukaryota; Metazoa; Chordata; Mammalia; Rodentia; Muridae.